This 422-nucleotide ribosomal RNA is filed under the name uncultured archaeon. RNAcentral's name for it is "bacterial SSU rRNA". It matches the Rfam family "Archaeal small subunit ribosomal RNA", at positions 459 to 880 of the family's 1478-position model. The record is from RNAcentral.
CAGCCGCCGCGGUAACCCCAGCGCCACAAGUGGGAACCACGCUUAUUGGGUCUAAAGCAUCCGUAGCCGGUUCUGCAAAUGCCCUGUGAAAUCGUUGCGCUCAACGUAACGACGUGCAGGGUAGACUACAGAACUAGGGACCAGAGGAAGUAGACGGUAUUCCUGAGGGAGCGGUAAAAUGUGAUAAUCUCAGGAGGACCACCGAUGGCGAAGGCAGUCUACUAAUAUGGAUCCGACGGUGAGGGAUGAAAGCUAGGGGAGCGAUCCGGAUUAGAUACCCGAGUAGUCCUAGCCGUAAACGCUGCAUGCCAGAUGUUACACAAUCUUCGAGAUUGUGUAAUGUCGAAACGAAGGUGUUAAGCAUGCCACCUGGGAAGUACGGUCGCAAGGCUGAAACUUAAAGGAAUUGGCGGGGGAGCACA